UAAUAAGUGUUUUAUGGCACUUUUUAAAUCCAUAUCCACCUUGUGUGCAAUGUCGGUCGAUCUUCUUUUUUUGAGGAUCGACCAAACAUCAACCCUUAUUUUUAACUCUUUGUCUGAAAAUAUUAUGAAUAAACAAUUCAAAAUA
Molecule: unclassified non-coding RNA, 145 nt
Filed under: soil metagenome
Description: partial internal transcribed spacer 1
Source: RNAcentral